UACGGAGGGUGCAAGCGUUAAUCGGAAUAACUGGGCGUAAAGGGCAUGUAGGUGGAAAGACAAGUCGGAUGUGAAAUCCCUGGGCUCAACCUAGGAGUUGCAUACGAUACUGUCUAUCUUGAGUAUGUUAGAGGGAAGAGGAAUUCCCGGUGUAGCGGUGAAAUGCGUAGAUAUCGGGAGGAAGAUCAGUGGCGAAGGCGUCUUCCUGGGACAAUACUGACACUGAGGUGCGAAAGCGUGGGUAGCGAACAGG
RNAcentral lists this unclassified non-coding RNA (253 nucleotides) under uncultured Gammaproteobacteria bacterium. Its description in RNAcentral is "contains 16S-23S intergenic spacer region". It matches the Rfam family "Bacterial small subunit ribosomal RNA", at positions 524 to 776 of the family's 1533-position model. Lineage: Bacteria; Pseudomonadati; Pseudomonadota; Gammaproteobacteria. The record is from RNAcentral.